This is a non-coding RNA of Paramuricea clavata, 371 nucleotides long. The record is from the annotation of a GenBank genome assembly. NCBI's taxonomy places the organism in Eukaryota, Metazoa, Cnidaria, Anthozoa, Malacalcyonacea, Plexauridae.
CUCAAAACUCACUCGCUCUUUGUAUUGCUUUGACUUUUACAUUUGUUUUAAAUUUUUGUUUUAAGUUUUCAAGCAAUUUCUAUUUCCAAGACCUUUAGAGACGACUGGGGACGAGUCAGAACCUGUAGUGGAACAGAUCCAGUGAGACAGCAAGAAUCACUAUAAUCAGUGGUGAGUCAAAGUCAAACCUCUUCUGGCGGAGAGAAACAAAGGCGGUUAGUUUCUUUUGAAUGUUAACACUGCAUGAAAGCUAGGCGGUAUAUGUCUCUUUCAACUCUACUGGAGUAAAUGAAUUUGUUAAGUAUACCAUGUGAGGACCCGUGAGUAUACAGACACCGAGACACGAUACAAUAUGUAACAUUGCUGGCGAG